UUUUUUUUACUCUUUGUAUUGAGUUUUUGCUUGUUCUGCAUGCUUUUAUCCUAUAUUGUUAUUUUUUUAUUCUUUGUUUUAACAUGUAUUUCGUAUUGACCUUUUAUUUCAUGGUAGGCAUUUUUUAUUUCAGCAUUUGAAUCUGACACGAUGUAUUUUUUAUGUUUUAUGUUAUUGUCAUUGAUAUGUUUUAAUUACCAUGUGUAUGUACAGCGCCUUAGAGUAAUUUUUAUUUUUUAUAUAGGGCGCUUUAUAAAUUUUCAUUAUUAUUAUUAUU
RNAcentral lists this long non-coding RNA (277 nucleotides) under Mytilus galloprovincialis (Mediterranean mussel). The record is from RNAcentral. Lineage: Eukaryota; Metazoa; Mollusca; Bivalvia; Mytilida; Mytilidae.